ACGGUGGUCCCACCUGACCCCAUGCCGAACUCAGAAGUGAAACGCCGUAGCGCCGAUGGUAGUGUGGGGUCUCCCCAUGCGAGAGUAGGACACUGCCAGGC
This 101-nucleotide ribosomal RNA is filed under the name Serratia marcescens. The record is from RNAcentral. Lineage: Bacteria; Pseudomonadati; Pseudomonadota; Gammaproteobacteria; Enterobacterales; Yersiniaceae.